Molecule: non-coding RNA, 1979 nt
Organism: Phalacrocorax carbo (great cormorant)
Lineage: Eukaryota; Metazoa; Chordata; Aves; Suliformes; Phalacrocoracidae
Source: RefSeq, a predicted model, not a curated record
GCCCCCCGCCCGCAGGACGGGCAGCCGCGCCGCGCCCCAGCCGCUGCCCUCGCCCCUAACAGCGGCGCGGCACGGCGCGGCUCCCUCCGGCACCCCAAGCCCGGCGGCUCGGCAAACUUCAAGCAGCCGAAGGGACGGGCCAGGGCCCGCCGCCGCCGCCGCCGCCGCCGCCACCCCCGCCCACCGCCCCGCCCUCACCUGCGCCGCCGCCCCCGGGUCCCGGUCGACGUCCCCGUCCGAGAACCUGCCGAGGAAACACGGCGGUAUAAAACAGCGAGGAAAGAACUGCGGCCUCAGUGUUGUCUGAGUCGGCAGCGGCUGAGACUUGAGAUGGCCACAAGCAGCUGUAACUGCGGGGCGGGGGGGAAGCUGCUGAAACUCCAUAUGUGAGCCCUCCUGUUACGAUUACUCCAGCCUUCCCCGUGCCAAGGGGAAGAUACUUCAUUAUAUGCUUACUACACAAGAGCCUGCUGUUGGAGACACGUUACUGCCUGCUGGAGAUGUUCUCCACUUCUCCAGCUGGUGCAAACCAAGCUGACAAAUGGUUUUUCCUUUGUAAUAGUUGUAUCUAUGGCAAGAAGUUGGCAAAGUUGUAACCAUAUGGUGUGUUGUUGGUUUUUUUUUUCCAUCUUUCCAGUAAAUCAGCAAAAUUACUUCCCCACAUUUAAAAACACUAACGUCAGUCAAGCGUUAUCACUUCAGGUUUCCUAGUAUUAUGAAAUACUUGUACUACAGGAAAAAGUCCCCACUUUAGUCUGACUAAAAAAACUUAGCCUCCCUCUCGAGUGCUUCUGUCAAUCUGAAAUAACCCUCAGGAGGAGGACUAUCCGAUACGCUUCUACAAGGCUUACCCACAUUCCUAGUGCUAUUGCCAGCACUCCCCAGCUGUAGGGAGCGCUGCCAGAUGAAACAACCACCGGGCAGCGGCCGCUUCGGUUUGCGUAUAGCCAGCCUUCCUGGAAAUGGGGCAAGAAGCAUUGGAUUUGCAUGUGGAAGCCUGAUGGCACAGGAGUCGGGGAAGAAACACUGAAUUAAUCAAGGAGUUUUCAGCUGUUAAGAAACAGGGCAGCUGUGGCCGAGAACUGAUCAUUAGAUACAGUUUGUAGAGUUACUUUUGUUCCAUUAGACCAAACUAUCUCUGCCACAGUUCUGCUCCCAUUAGUUUUCUAGUAACCAUAUGCUUAUCUUUAAAUUUAGCAUUGUGAACCAAUCAAUUAAACUCCUGCAUGAAUUCACUCAUAGGAAGUCAUAUUGCCUUUAAUUUUCCAUUCCACUAAUCUUACCAGGCAUCAUAUUUAUUUUUAAUCCACCUUCUGCUGAAACAUUGCCAACAGCUGCGUUAUACAAGCUACCAAGACCUUUGCUAUCACGGGCGCCCCAGAAUUACAUUGAAAGUUUUGGGUUGUUUGUUGGAAAAGGAUUAGUUUAGAUUCCGUCCUCAGCUCAACUUGGGUGUGAGCUACAAAAACAUACAGGACUGCUAUGUCAAAGGACACCCACAGCACGUUACAUGCAUUCGAGGCUGUUCCGAAGCGAUUCGUGAAUUGCUCUUGGCCCACCACAGACCCACACUGAUUAAUGGCAUUGUCCUAUUCCUCAGUGCAUUUUGGUUAUUUAUUAUUAUCGUCAAGACAUUAUAAUAAUAUAAAAACAUUUCAGAGUAAAUUUUUUUCCACUUGAUUUAUUUUCAUAAUAAACCAAUUAAAAAUACAAAAGACAAGGACCCAAGGUUCAGAGGGCUCCAUCAUUUAAAAAUUUGUCUUUAAAUACAAAUUCACUCUGUAAUAUGAAUACAUAUAACAUUAGAGCUCUAAACAUAAUGAUCUUGUCUGCAUCUAUCAAAAAUUUGUAUGGAAACAAAUUAGCUGAAAAAACCUUCUGACAUUGAAUGUACAUUAUUUACAAUCAAAAAAAGAACUCUUAGUAGUACUAAUCUGCACAUACCUGCAUAUAUUGUAUAUAUUUCAUUUCCCUCCCCC